GGCACAUAUGUUGGUAUUCUAUUGGAAUGCAAGUGGGCUGGCUUUUGAACCCAUUUAUGGGCUAUUCAAGUGGGUAAACCAUAGGUUGGUGCACUUAAAUGGCCUAUAAGUGGGUUUGUGGGCUGGCCCUCUUGUAUCCUGAUAGUUUAGUAUGA
Molecule: microRNA precursor, 155 nt
Filed under: Oryza sativa Indica Group (long-grained rice)
Lineage: Eukaryota; Viridiplantae; Streptophyta; Magnoliopsida; Poales; Poaceae
Description: osa-MIR1876
Source: RNAcentral